CGGCCAGACUCCUACGGGAGGCAGCAGUGGGGGAUAUUGGACAAUGGGGGAAACCCUGAUCCAGCGACGCCGCGUGAGUGAAGAAGUAUUUCGGUAUGUAAAGCUCUGUCAGCAGGGAAGAAAGAAAUGACGGUACCUGACCAAGAAGCCCCGGCUAAAUACGUGCCAGCAGCCGCGGUAAUACGUAUGGGGCAAGCGUUAUCCGGAUUUACUGGGUGUAAAGGGAGCGCAGGCGGCCUGCCAAGUCUGGUGUGAAAACCCGGGGCCCAACCCCGGGCCUGCAUUGGAAACUGGCGGGCUGGAGUGUCGGAGGGGCAGGCGGAAUUCCUAGUGUAGCGGUGAAAUGCGUAGAUAUUAGGAGGAACACCGGUGGCGAAGGCGGCCUGCUGGACGAUGACUGACGCUGAGGCUCGAAAGCGUGGGGAGCAAACAGGAUUAGAUACCCGCGUAGUU
Molecule: ribosomal RNA, 453 nt
Filed under: uncultured bacterium
Lineage: Bacteria
Description: bacterial SSU rRNA
Rfam family: Bacterial small subunit ribosomal RNA
Source: RNAcentral